Molecule: ribosomal RNA, 253 nt
Filed under: uncultured bacterium
Lineage: Bacteria
Description: partial 16S ribosomal RNA
Rfam family: Bacterial small subunit ribosomal RNA
Source: RNAcentral
UACGUAGGGCGCAAGCGUUGUCCGGAAUUAUUGGGCGUAAAGAGCUCGUAGGCGGUCUGUCACGUCGGCUGUGAAAGCCCGGGGCUCAACCCCGGGUCUGCAGUCGAUACGGGCAGGCUAGAGUGCGGUAGGGGAGACUGGAAUUCCUGGUGUAGCGGUGAAAUGCGCAGAUAUCAGGAGGAACACCGGUGGCGAAGGCGGGUCUCUGGGCCGUAACUGACGCUGAGGAGCGAAAGCGUGGGGAGCGAACAGG